RNAcentral lists this ribosomal RNA (406 nucleotides) under uncultured bacterium. RNAcentral describes it as "partial 16S ribosomal RNA". It matches the Rfam family "Bacterial small subunit ribosomal RNA", at positions 29 to 526 of the family's 1533-position model. The record is from RNAcentral.
AUUGAACGCUGGCGGCAGGCCUAACACAUGCAAGUCGAACGAGUGGCGGACGGGUGAGUAAUGUCUGGGAAACUGCCUGAUGGAGGGGGAUAACUACUGGAAACGGUAGCUAAUACCGCAAACCAUCAGAUGGGCCCUUGUGGGUUUAGGGUGUGGGUGGGGUAACGGCUCACAAAGGCCACGAUCCCUAGCUGGUCUGAGAGGGUGACCGGCCACACUGGAACUGAGACACGGUCCAGACUCCUACGGGAGGCAGCAGUGGGGAAUCUUGGGCAAUGGGCGCAAGCCUGAUGCAGCCAGGCCGCGUGUGUGAAGAAGGCCUGCGGGUUGUAAAGUACUUUCAGCAGGGAAGCGUUACCCGCAGAGGAAGCACCGGCUAACUCCGUGCCAGCAGCCGCGGUAAUUC